RNAcentral lists this ribosomal RNA (253 nucleotides) under uncultured bacterium. RNAcentral's name for it is "partial 16S ribosomal RNA". The stretch from base 27 to 253 matches the Rfam family "Bacterial small subunit ribosomal RNA", at positions 550 to 776 of the family's 1533-position model. The record is from RNAcentral.
UACCAGCAUCCCGAGUGGUCGGGACGUUUAUUGGGCCUAAAGCAUCCGUAGCCGGUUCUACAAGUCUUGCGUGAAAUCUCGGGGCCCAACCCCGAGCGGUCGUGAGAAACUGGCAGGCUAGAGUGCGGGAGAGGAGAGUGGAAUUCCUGGUGUAGCGGUGAAAUGCGCAGAUAUCAGGAAGAACACCCGUGGCGAAGGCGGCUCUCUGGAACGCAACUGACGCUGAGACGCGAAAGCGUGGGGAGCAAACAGG